Molecule: ribosomal RNA, 250 nt
Filed under: uncultured bacterium
Lineage: Bacteria
Description: partial 16S ribosomal RNA
Rfam family: Bacterial small subunit ribosomal RNA
Source: RNAcentral
UACAGAGGGUGCAAGCGUUGUUCGGAAUUAUUGGGCGUAAAGCGCGUGUAGGCGGCCAAGUAAGUUGGGUGUGAAAGCCCUCGGCUUAACCGAGGAAGUGCGCCCAAAACUGCUUGGCUUGAGUACCGGAGAGGGUGGCGGAAUUCCCGGUGUAGAGGUGAAAUUCGUAGAUAUCGGGAGGAACACCAGUGGCGAAGGCGGCCACCUGGACGGCUACUGACGCUGAGACGCGAAAGCGUGGGGAGCAAAC